GGAGGUGUCGCAUAGUGGUCAAUUGCACACGCUUGGAAAGCGUGAUCCUUCGGGAUUCAAGGGUUCGAAUCCCUUCACCUCCG
This 83-nucleotide transfer RNA is filed under the name Candidatus Pacebacteria bacterium CG_4_10_14_0_2_um_filter_40_20. RNAcentral's name for it is "tRNA-Ser". It matches the Rfam family "tRNA". From Rfam's summary of the family: Transfer RNA (tRNA) molecules are approximately 80 nucleotides in length. Their secondary structure includes four short double-helical elements and three loops (D, anti-codon, and T loops). Further hydrogen bonds mediate the characteristic L-shaped molecular structure. tRNAs have two regions of fundamental functional importance: the anti-codon, which is responsible for specific mRNA codon recognition, and the 3' end, to which the tRNAs corresponding amino acid is attached (by aminoacyl-tRNA synthetases). tRNAs cope with the degeneracy of the genetic code in two manners: having more than one tRNA (with a specific anti-codon) for a particular amino acid; and 'wobble' base-pairing, i.e. permitting non-standard base-pairing at the 3rd anti-codon position. The record is from RNAcentral. RNAcentral also lists the same sequence under 3 other names. Lineage: Bacteria; Bacillati; Minisyncoccota.